GUCGAGUCGGCCUGCGCGGAAGAUGUAACGGGGCUAAGUAGUAAACCGAAGCUGCGGCAAUAUACUUUUGUAUAUUGGGUAGGGGAGCGUUCUGUAAGCGGUUGAAGGUGUGUGGUAACGCAUGCUGGACGUAUCAGAAGUGCGAAUGCUGACAUGAGUAACGAUAAAGGGGGUGAAAAACCUCCUCGCCGGAAGACCAAGGGUUCCUGUCCAACGUUAAUCGGGGCAGGGUAAGUCGACCCCUAAGGCGAGGCCGAAAGGCGUAGUCGAUGGGAAACGGGUUAAUAUUCCCGUACUUCUUACAAUUGCGAUGGGGGGACGGAGAAGGCUAGGUGGGCCUGGCGACGGUUGUCCAGGUUCAAGUGCGUAGGCUUAAGAGUUAGGUAAAUCCGGCUCUUUCUAAGGCUGAGACACGACGUCGAGCACCUACGGGUGUGAAGUCAUUGAUGCCAUGCUUCCAGGAAAAGCCUCUAAGCUUCAGAUUGUAAGGAAUCGUACCCCAAACCGACACAGGUGGUCGGGUAGAGAAUACCAAGGCGCUUGA
RNAcentral lists this ribosomal RNA (544 nucleotides) under Vibrio parahaemolyticus. RNAcentral's name for it is "partial 23S ribosomal RNA". It matches the Rfam family "Bacterial large subunit ribosomal RNA", at positions 1148 to 1693 of the family's 2925-position model. The record is from RNAcentral. Lineage: Bacteria; Pseudomonadati; Pseudomonadota; Gammaproteobacteria; Vibrionales; Vibrionaceae.